This 2990-nucleotide ribosomal RNA is filed under the name Salmonella enterica. Its description in RNAcentral is "23S ribosomal RNA". It matches the Rfam family "Bacterial large subunit ribosomal RNA". Lineage: Bacteria; Pseudomonadati; Pseudomonadota; Gammaproteobacteria; Enterobacterales; Enterobacteriaceae. The record is from RNAcentral.
GGUUAAGCGACUAAGCGUACACGGUGGAUGCCCUGGCAGUCAGAGGCGAUGAAGGGCGUGCUAAUCUGCGAUAAGCGCCGGUAAGGUGAUAUGAACCGUUAUAACCGGCGAUACCCGAAUGGGGAAACCCAGUGUGACUCGUCACACUAUCAUUAACUGAAUCCAUAGGUUAAUGAGGCGAACCGGGGGAACUGAAACAUCUAAGUACCCCGAGGAAAAGAAAUCAACCGAGAUUCCCCCAGUAGCGGCGAGCGAACGGGGAGGAGCCCAGAGCCUGAAUCAGCAUGUGUGUUAGUGGAAGCGUCUGGAAAGGCGCGCGAUACAGGGUGACAGCCCCGUACACAAAAGCGCAUGUGCUGUGAGCUCGAUGAGUAGGGCGGGACACGUGGUAUCCUGUCUGAAUAUGGGGGGACCAUCCUCCAAGGCUAAAUACUCCUGACUGACCGAUAGUGAACCAGUACCGUGAGGGAAAGGCGAAAAGAACCCCGGCGAGGGGAGUGAAAAAGAACCUGAAACCGUGUACGUACAAGCAGUGGGAGCACAGGUUUACCUGUGUGACUGCGUACCUUUUGUAUAAUGGGUCAGCGACUUAUAUUCUGUAGCAAGGUUAACCGAAUAGGGGAGCCGGAGGGAAACCGAGUCUUAAUUGGGCGUUAAGUUGCAGGGUAUAGACCCGAAACCCGGUGAUCUAGCCAUGGGCAGGUUGAAGGUUGGGUAACACUAACUGGAGGACCGAACCGACUAAUGUUGAAAAAUUAGCGGAUGACCUGUGGCUGGGGGUGAAAGGCCAAUCAAACCGGGAGAUAGCUGGUUCUCCCCGAAAGCUAUUUAGGUAGCGCCUCGUGAAUUCAUCUCCGGGGGUAGAGCACUGUUUCGGCUAGGGGGCCAUCCCGGCUUACCAACCCGAUGCAAACUGCGAAUACCGGAGAAUGUUAUCACGGGAGACACACGGCGGGUGCUAACGUCCGUCGUGAAGAGGGAAACAACCCAGACCGCCAGCUAAGGUCCCAAAGUCAUGGUUAAGUGGGAAACGAUGUGGGAAGGCCCAGACAGCCAGGAUGUUGGCUUAGAAGCAGCCAUCAUUUAAAGAAAGCGUAAUAGCUCACUGGUCGAGUCGGCCUGCGCGGAAGAUGUAACGGGGCUAAACCAUGCACCGAAGCUGCGGCAGCGAACGUAUCACCCAAGACAACUUUACGGAGUUGACGAUUGACGGAGCGAAGCGACGUCAAAGCGUUCAUUAAAGUCGAGUUGGCUUAGGGAUACGUUCGUUGGGUAGGGGAGCGUUCUGUAAGCCUGUGAAGGUGGCCUGUGAGGGUUGCUGGAGGUAUCAGAAGUGCGAAUGCUGACAUAAGUAACGAUAAAGCGGGUGAAAAGCCCGCUCGCCGGAAGACCAAGGGUUCCUGUCCAACGUUAAUCGGGGCAGGGUGAGUCGACCCCUAAGGCGAGGCCGAAAGGCGUAGUCGAUGGGAAACGGGUUAAUAUUCCCGUACUUGGUGUUACUGCGAAGGGGGGACGGAGAAGGCUAUGUUGGCCGGGCGACGGUUGUCCCGGUUUAAGCGUGUAGGCUGGUUUUCCAGGCAAAUCCGGAAAAUCAAGGCUGAGGCGUGACGACGAGGCACUACGGUGCUGAAGCAACAAAUGCCCUGCUUCCAGGAAAAGCCUCUAAGCAUCAGGUAACAUCAAAUCGUACCCCAAACCGACACAGGUGGUCAGGUAGAGAAUACCAAGGCGCUUGAGAGAACUCGGGUGAAGGAACUAGGCAAAAUGGUGCCGUAACUUCGGGAGAAGGCACGCUGACACGUAGGUGAAGUGAUUUACUCAUGGAGCUGAAGUCAGUCGAAGAUACCAGCUGGCUGCAACUGUUUAUUAAAAACACAGCACUGUGCAAACACGAAAGUGGACGUAUACGGUGUGACGCCUGCCCGGUGCCGGAAGGUUAAUUGAUGGGGUCAGCGCAAGCGAAGCUCCUGAUCGAAGCCCCGGUAAACGGCGGCCGUAACUAUAACGGUCCUAAGGUAGCGAAAUUCCUUGUCGGGUAAGUUCCGACCUGCACGAAUGGCGUAAUGAUGGCCAGGCUGUCUCCACCCGAGACUCAGUGAAAUUGAACUCGCUGUGAAGAUGCAGUGUACCCGCGGCAAGACGGAAAGACCCCGUGAACCUUUACUAUAGCUUGACACUGAACAUUGAGCCUUGAUGUGUAGGAUAGGUGGGAGGCUUUGAAGUGUGGACGCCAGUCUGCAUGGAGCCGACCUUGAAAUACCACCCUUUAAUGUUUGAUGUUCUAACGUGGACCCGUAAUCCGGGUUGCGGACAGUGUCUGGUGGGUAGUUUGACUGGGGCGGUCUCCUCCUAAAGAGUAACGGAGGAGCACGAAGGUUGGCUAAUCCUGGUCGGACAUCAGGAGGUUAGUGCAAUGGCAUAAGCCAGCUUGACUGCGAGCGUGACGGCGCGAGCAGGUGCGAAAGCAGGUCAUAGUGAUCCGGUGGUUCUGAAUGGAAGGGCCAUCGCUCAACGGAUAAAAGGUACUCCGGGGAUAACAGGCUGAUACCGCCCAAGAGUUCAUAUCGACGGCGGUGUUUGGCACCUCGAUGUCGGCUCAUCACAUCCUGGGGCUGAAGUAGGUCCCAAGGGUAUGGCUGUUCGCCAUUUAAAGUGGUACGCGAGCUGGGUUUAGAACGUCGUGAGACAGUUCGGUCCCUAUCUGCCGUGGGCGCUGGAGAACUGAGGGGGGCUGCUCCUAGUACGAGAGGACCGGAGUGGACGCAUCACUGGUGUUCGGGUUGUCAUGCCAAUGGCACUGCCCGGUAGCUAAAUGCGGAAGAGAUAAGUGCUGAAAGCAUCUAAGCACGAAACUUGCCCCGAGAUGAGUUCUCCCUGAGACUUAGAGUCUCCUGAAGGAACGUUGAAGACGACGACGUUGAUAGGCCGGGUGUGUAAGCGCAGCGAUGCGUUGAGCUAACCGGUACUAAUGAACCGUGAGGCUUAACCUU